UAAAAGCCAUCCCAGUUCGGAUUGCAGGCUGCAACCCGCCUGUAUGAAGUUGGAAUCGCUAGUAAUCGCGGAUCAGCAUGCCGCGGUGAAUACGUUCCCGGGCCUUGUACACACCGCCCGUCACACCAUGAGAGUCGGGAACACCCGAAGUCCGUAGCCUAACCGCAAGGAGGGCGCGGCCGAAGGUGGGUUCGAUAAUUGGGGUGAAGUCGUAACAAGGUAAC
RNAcentral lists this ribosomal RNA (224 nucleotides) under uncultured bacterium. RNAcentral describes it as "partial 16S ribosomal RNA". It matches the Rfam family "Bacterial small subunit ribosomal RNA", at positions 1277 to 1500 of the family's 1533-position model. The record is from RNAcentral.